GUUGUUGCAGUUAAAAAGCUCGUAGUUGAACUUCACGCCUGGCCUGGGUGGUCUGCCUCACGGUAUGCACUGUCUGGCUGGGUCUUACCUCUUGGUGAGCCAGUAUGCCCUUCACUGGGUGUAUAGGGGAACCAGGACCUUUACCUUGAGAAAAUUAGAGUGUUCAAAGCAGGCCUAUGCCCGAAUACAUUAGCAUGGAAUAAUAAAAUAGGACGUGCGGUUCUAUUUUGUUGGUUUCUAGAGUCGCCGUAAUGAUUAAUAGGGAUAGUUGGGGGCAUUAGUAUUCAGUUGCUAGAGGUGAAAUUCUUGGAUUUACUGAAGACUAACUACUGCGAAAGCAUUUGCCAAGGAUGUUUUCAUUACUCAAGAACGAAGGUUAGGGGAUCGAAAACGAUCAGAUACCGUUGUAGUCUUAA
This 416-nucleotide ribosomal RNA is filed under the name uncultured eukaryote. Its description in RNAcentral is "SSU rRNA". It matches the Rfam family "Eukaryotic small subunit ribosomal RNA", at positions 609 to 1029 of the family's 1831-position model. The record is from RNAcentral.